AAUGCAAGUCGAGCGAGAUUUUCUUUAGUAGCAAUACCGAAGGAAGUCUAGCGGCGAACGGGUGCUUAACACGUGGGCAACCUGCCGAGAAGUGGGGGAUAGCUCGCCGAAAGGCGAAUUAAUACCGCAUGUGAUUAGAGUGGACAUCCAUUCAAAAUUAAAGUCGGGGCAACCUGACGCUUUUUGUGGGGCCCGCGGCCUAUCAGCUAGUUGGUGAGGUAACGGCCCACCAAGGCUUUGACGGGUAGCUGGUCUGAGAGGACGACCAGCCACACUGGGACUGAGACACGGCCCAGACACCUACGGGUGGCAGCAGUCGAGAAUUUUUCUCAAUGGGGGAAACCCUGAAGGAGCGACGCCGCGUGGAGGAUGAAGGUCUUCGGAUUGUAAACUCCUGUCAUUGGGGAACAAGUCGCUUACGUUAACUGCGUGAGCGUUGAUAGUACCCGAAGAGGAAGAGACGGCUAACUCUGUGCCAGCAGCCGCGGUAAUACAGAGGUCUCAAGCGUUGUUCGGAUUCAUUGGGCGUAAAGGGUGCGUAGGCGGCGCGGUAAGUCGGGUGUGAAAUCUCGGAGCUUAACUCCGUAACUGCAUUCGAUACUGCCGUGCUUGAGGACUGGAGAGGAGACUGGAAUUUACGGUGUAGCGGUGAAAUGCGUAGAUAUCGUAAGGAAGACCAGUGGCGAAGGCGGGUCUCUGGACAGUUCCUGACGCUGAGGCACGAAGGUCAGGGGAGCAAACGGGAUUAGAUACCCCGGUAGUCCUGACAGUAAACGGUGCACGUUU
This 786-nucleotide ribosomal RNA is filed under the name uncultured Verrucomicrobiae bacterium. RNAcentral's name for it is "bacterial SSU rRNA". It matches the Rfam family "Bacterial small subunit ribosomal RNA", at positions 54 to 818 of the family's 1533-position model. Lineage: Bacteria; Pseudomonadati; Verrucomicrobiota; Verrucomicrobiia. The record is from RNAcentral.